Molecule: ribosomal RNA, 1395 nt
Filed under: uncultured bacterium
Lineage: Bacteria
Description: 16S ribosomal RNA
Rfam family: Bacterial small subunit ribosomal RNA
Source: RNAcentral
AGAGUUUGAUCCUGGCUCAGGAUGAACGCUGGCGGCAUGCCUAACACAUGCAAGUCGAACGGGGUUUAUGUGAAGAAACUCUCCGGAGGGAAGAUAUAUAAACCUCACUGGCGGACGGGUGAGUAACGCGCGGGCUACCUGCCCUGGACCGGGGGACAACAUCCAGAAAUGGCUGCUAUUACCUCAUAGACGUGCUGUGCCUCAUGAUUCAACGAGGAAAACCGCGGCGGAACGGGAUGGGCCCCCUUCUGAUUAUGUAGGUGGCACGGUCACCGCCUGCCACGACAACUAUCGGUACCCAGCUUGAGAGACUGCACGGUCACACUGAGACUGAGACACGACCCAUACUCCUGCGGGAGGCAACGAUGGGGAAUAUUGCACAAAGGGGGGAACCCUGACGCAUCACUGCCGCGAGGACGAACAAACACUCCGGUGCCUUCAGCCCUGUCAGCAGCGGAAAAAAAUGACAGUACCUGACCAAGAAGCCUCGGCUAACUCCGUGCCAGCAGCCGCGGUAAUACGGUAGGGGGCAAGCGUUAUCCGGAUUUAUUGGGUGUAAAGGGAGCGUAGACGGCAGCGCAAUUAUGGAGUGAAAUGCCGGGGCCCAACCCCGGAACUGCUCUGGAAACUGUGAAGUUGAAGCGCACGAGACGUGAGCGGACAUUCUGUGGUGUAGCAAUGAAAUGCGUAGAUAUCAGGGGGAACUCCGGGGGCGAAGGCAGCUUACUGGCUGGUAAUGACGGUGAGGCUGGAAGGCUUGGGAGUCAAACAGGAUUAGAUACCCUGGUAGUCCCGGCGGAAACGGUGAUUUCCAGGUGUUUGGGGCAAUGUGCCCCCGGUGCCGACACAAACGCAAUAAGUAAUCCACCUGGGGAGUACGUUCGCGAGAAGUGAAUCUAAAGGAAUUGGCGGGGACCCGCACAAGCGGUGGAGCCUGUGGUUUAAUUUGAGGCGAUGCGAAGAACCUUUCCCAGGCUUGACAUCCCAAUGAAUGCCCGGCAAUGGGGGCAGGCUCUUCGGGGACUUUGUAGACAGGUGGCGCAUGGUUGUUGUCAGCUUGCGUUGUGAGAUGUGGGGUUAAGUCCCGCAGCGAGCGCCCCCCUUACCCCCUGUAGCCAGCAGUAAGUUGGGCACUCUGUGGGGACUGCCGGGGCCAACCCGGAGGAAGGUGGGGAUGACGUCAAAUCAUCAUGCCCCUUAUGUCUGGGGCGACACACGUGUUACAAUGGCGUAAACAGAGGGAAGCGAACCCGCGAGGGGGAGCAAAUCCGGGAAAUAACUCCCCAGUUCGGAUGGCAUGCUGCAACCCGCUUGCAUGAAGCCGGAAUCGCUAGUAUUGGCGGAUCAGAAUGCCGCGGUGAAUACGUUACCGGGUCUUGCACACACCGCCCGUCA